Molecule: ribosomal RNA, 254 nt
Filed under: uncultured bacterium
Lineage: Bacteria
Description: partial 16S ribosomal RNA
Rfam family: Bacterial small subunit ribosomal RNA
Source: RNAcentral
UACGAGGGGGGCAAGCGUUUGUUCGGAAUUAUUGGGCGUAAAGGGUGCGUAGGCGGUUUGGUAAGUCUUAUGUGAAAUCUACAGGCUCAACUUGUAGUCUGCAUGAGAAACUGCCGGGCUUGAGUAUGGGAGAGGUGAGUGGAAUUCCUGGUGUAGCGGUGAAAUGCGCAGAUAUCAGGAAGAACACCCGUGGCGAAGGCGGCUCUCUGGGACGGUACUGACGCUGAGACGCGAAAGCGUGGGGAGCGAACAGG